RNAcentral lists this ribosomal RNA (253 nucleotides) under uncultured bacterium. RNAcentral's name for it is "partial 16S ribosomal RNA". It matches the Rfam family "Bacterial small subunit ribosomal RNA", at positions 524 to 776 of the family's 1533-position model. The record is from RNAcentral.
UACAGAGGGUGCAAGCGUUGUUCGGAAUUAUUGGGCGUAAAGGGCGCGUAGGCGGCCGAUCAAGUCAGAUGUGAAAGUCCUGGGCUUAACCUGGGGACUGCAUUUGAUACUGAUUGGCUUGAAUGCAGGAGAGGAUAGCGGAAUUCCCAGUGUAGAGGUGAAAUUCGUAGAUAUUGGGAAGAACACCGGUGGCGAAGGCGGCUAUCUGGACUGUGAUUGACGCUGAGGCGCGAAAGCGUGGGGAGCAAACAGG